GCGCCUGUAGCUCAGCUGGAUAGAGUACCUGGCUACGAACCAGGCGGUCGCACGUUCGAAUCGUGCCAGGCGCGCCA
This 77-nucleotide transfer RNA is filed under the name marine gamma proteobacterium HTCC2148. RNAcentral's name for it is "tRNA-Arg". It matches the Rfam family "tRNA". From Rfam's summary of the family: Transfer RNA (tRNA) molecules are approximately 80 nucleotides in length. Their secondary structure includes four short double-helical elements and three loops (D, anti-codon, and T loops). Further hydrogen bonds mediate the characteristic L-shaped molecular structure. tRNAs have two regions of fundamental functional importance: the anti-codon, which is responsible for specific mRNA codon recognition, and the 3' end, to which the tRNAs corresponding amino acid is attached (by aminoacyl-tRNA synthetases). tRNAs cope with the degeneracy of the genetic code in two manners: having more than one tRNA (with a specific anti-codon) for a particular amino acid; and 'wobble' base-pairing, i.e. permitting non-standard base-pairing at the 3rd anti-codon position. Lineage: Bacteria; Pseudomonadati; Pseudomonadota; Gammaproteobacteria; Cellvibrionales; Halieaceae. RNAcentral also lists the same sequence under 36 other names. The record is from RNAcentral.